This 1082-nucleotide long non-coding RNA is filed under the name Mustela putorius furo (domestic ferret). RNAcentral describes it as "lncRNA (ENSMPUG00000024728.1)". The record is from RNAcentral. Lineage: Eukaryota; Metazoa; Chordata; Mammalia; Carnivora; Mustelidae.
AGCUCUGUGAUCGAUUAGAUAUGUCUGCUAAGAGUACGAGAGGGAGGGUGGCAGCAUGGGGUCAGAUAACCUCAGCUUUUAAUACAAAGCCUGGAGUUUUAUCUCUUAAUCCUUUCUCUGGGUCACCUACUGUUACACUUCCUGUGGGAUAAUGGAAAAGGCAUGCUUUGCUGUUAUUAUUGGUGUACGUGUUCCUUAAUGAUUUAAAAAAUCCCUGGCAUUUGGAAAUGUUACCGUUCAGAAUACAGUCAGCUUCCUGGUCCCACGGAGUCUCAGUGACUGUCAGACGAGGAAACUCCCUUUCAGCAUUGCCUUGAAGAAGAGAGAUAAGAUACUUGAAAUACUUUAUGUGAUACUUCAUGAUUGCUCAAGAAAUGGACAUGAUGGGGAUUAUUGAUGAAGAUCUUGCAAAUCCAAGAAAUGACAAUUCUCAGAUGCAGCCCUGCAGGGGAGUGGUAGAGGCAUUGGAGGAAGAGAGAAGAGAAGAAGCCAUCAGUGAGAUGGGUGGGGAAAUCCAGAGAGUGUUGGAAGACAAGUUAAGAAAGAACAUCAAAGAGGAAGGAGUAAUUAAGUAUCAUCCAUUGCUGUUAGGUCAAGGUGUCCCAUCACUGGGUUUACAAGCAUGCAGGAGUUGGCAUGGGAGGAAGGUUCACAAGACUCAAGGCAUGGAGUUGAACUGGCUUUAUGUACACAGCCCUCUGUGCGCCCUGGCUCUGGGAUCUGACGGGCUUGAAUCGUGGCCGCACCCCUCAACAGAUGGGUGGCCUCAAGGACGUCCUUGACCCCUGUUCACUUGGGGUUUCUCAUCUAGCAGGAGGGGGUUACAUGACAAAUGUCCUGUGCCCAUCUGGAGCCUGACCCACGGCGGCUGCAAGAUGCCACUGCCACCACCCCUCCCAUCCCGCCCUCCCCUGCCCCGACAGUGACCCUGCGGUCAGAAGAAUCUGGACUGGACAGUUUUUCCAUCCUUGCAACUCCGUAAACUAGAGAUCAUGUAAUAAUAGAUUUAAACUAGCCAUUAAAGAUCAGACCUUCCUUUUUUUCUCCUCUUGAACAAGGAAGGAAAGAUGAUGUGAAUUCAG